CCCACUCCAGCUGAACAAUCAAUGAACUAUCCUAAGUCCCACUCUAGCUGAACAAUAUAAUGAACUAUCCUAAGUCCCACUCCAGCUGAACAAUACAAUAAACUAUCCUGAGUCCCACUCCAGCUGAACAUUACAAUGAACAAUCCUGAGUCCAACUCCAGCUGAACAAUACAAUGAACUAUCCUGAGUCCAACUCCAGCUGAACAAUACAAUGAACUAUCCUAAGUCCAACUCCAGCUGAACAAUGCAAUGAACUAUCUUGAGUCCCACUCCAGCUGAGCAACACAAUGAACUAUCCUGAGACCAACUCCAGCUGAACAACACAAUGAACUAUCUUGAGUCCCACUCCAGCUGAGCAACACAAUGAACUAUCCUGAGACCAACUCCAGCUGAGCAACACAAUGAACUAUCUUGAGUCCCACUCCAGCUGAACAACACAAUGAACUAUUUUAAGUCCCACUCCAGCUGAACAACACAAUGAACUAUUUUAAGUCCCACUCCAGCUGAACAAUACAAUGAACUAUCCUGAGUCCCACUCCAGCUGAACAAUACAAUGAACUAUCCUGAGUCCAACUCCAGCUGAACAAUACAAUGAACUAUCCUGAGUCCAACUCCAGCUGAACAAUACAAUGAACUAUCCUAAGUCCCACUCCAGCUGAACAAUACAAUGAACUAUCCUAAGUCCCACUCUAGCUGAACAAUACAAUGAGCUAUCCUGAGUCCCACUCCAGCUGAACAAUACAAUGAACUAUCCUAAGUCCCACUCCAGCUGAACAAUACAAUGAACUAUCCUGAGUCCCACUCCAGCUGAACAAUACAAUGAACUAUCCUAAGUCCCACUCUAGCUGAACAAUACAAUGAACUAUCCUGAGUCCAACUCCAGCUGAACAAUGCAAUGAACUAUCCUGAGUCCCACUCCAGCUGAACAAUACAAUGAACUAUCCUAAGUCCCACUCCAGCUGAACAAUACAACGAACUAUCCUGAGUCCCACUCCAGCUGAACAAUACAAUGAACUAUCCUAAGUCCCACUCCAGCUGAACAAUACAAUGAACUAUCCUAAGUCCCACUCCAGCUGAACAAUACAAUGAACUAUCCUAAGUCCCACUCCAGCUGAACAAUACAAUGAACUAUCCUAAGUCCCACUCCAGCUGAACAAUACAAUGAACUAUCCUGAGUCCCUCUCCAGCUGAACAAUACAAUGAACUAUCCUAAGUCCCACUUCAGCUGAACAAUACAAUGAACUAUCCUAAGUCCCACUCCAGCUGAACAAUACAAUGAACUAUCAUAAGUCCCACUCCAGCUGAACAAUACAAUGAACUAUCCUAAGUCCCACUCCAGCUGAACAAUACAAUGAACUAUCAUAAGUCCCACUCUAGCUGAGCUUUACUAUGUUGAAUAUAUUUUAUAUUAUGCUUUUAAGAGUUAUGAUAGCAGUCUUUAUAUUAACAAACUAGGUAAAGGUUCAAACAUAAAAACUGUAAAAUGUUAAUAAUAUUUAAUUAAUUUAUUUAAAAAAUAAUUGAAAAUGAGGAAAAAAUAUGAACAUGAUUUUUAAUAAAAAUAAAAAAUGCCCUGUACUGUCUUGGUGAUUUCUUCUCUUUUUUGUCAGUCAUUAAAACAGUUUUAGAUAAUAUGUAGCUGCUGCAGGAAGCUCAUUGUUUACAUUAUGCCAAGUGACGACGUAGCUAUUGCAAUACGUUUGUUGUUCCUGUACUUACAAUUUCUAACGCGGAUGCUUCUGGAGGGUUGUUGGUCAUACUGUUGUACUGAGUCACUAGGCUCGUGCAGCUGGUCUAGCAAGACACUAGGUUGGUGCUGCAAGACACUAGGCUGGUGCAGCAAGACACUAGGUUGGUGCAGCAAGACACUAGGUUGGUGCAGCAAGACACUAGGUUGGUGCAGCAAGACACUAGGUUGGUGCUGCAAGACACUAGGCUGGUGCAGCAAGACACUAGGCUGGUGCAGCAAGACACUAGGCUGGUGCAGCAAGACACUGGGUUGGUGCAGCAAGACACCAGGCUGGUGCAGCAAGACACUGGGUUGGUGCAGCAAGACAUAGGCUGGUGCAGCAAGACACUAGGUUGGUGCAGCAAGACAUGGGUUGGUGCUGCAAGACACUGGGCUGGUGUAGCAAGACACUAGGUUGGUGCAGCAAGACAUAGGCUGGUGCAGCAAGACACUAGGUUGGUGCAGCAAGACAUAGGUUGGUGCCUCAAAGACACUGGGCUGGUGUAGCAAGACACUAGGUUGGUGCAACAAGACACUAGGCUGGUGCAGCAACACUCUGGGUUGGUGCAGCAAGACAUAGGCUGGUGCAGCAACACACUGGGCUGGUGUAGCAAGACACUAGGCUGGUGCAGCAAGGCACUAGGCUGGUGCAGCAAGGCAAUAGGCUGGUGUAGCUAGACCCUAGUCUGGUGCAGCAAGACACUAGGCUGGUGUAUCAAGACACUAGGUUGGUGCAGCAAGAUACAAGGCUGGUGCAGCAAGACACUAAGCUGGUGCAGCAAGACCCUAGGCUGGUGCAGCAAGGCACUAGGCUGGUGCAGCAAGGCACUGGGCUGGUGCAGGAAGUCACUGGGCUGGUGCAGCAAGGCACUAGGCUGGUGCAGCAAGGCACAAGGCUGGUGCAGCAAGGCACUAGGCUGGUGCAGCAAGGCACAAGGCUGGUGCAGCAAGGCACUAGGUUGGUGCAGCAAGGCACAAGGCUGGUGCAGCAAGGCACUAGGCUGGUGCAGCAAGCUCUUUGCUCCUCAAGUGUUUAUAUUAUGUUGUUUUAACUCACAGUAUUAUCAGUUUUUUUCUGUAAUGUUUUUGCAGUUCUAGUAAAUGCCUGUUCUUUUAGAUUUUAAUGAACAAUUCAUAUAAAAAAUAAUAAAGAUUUGGCAAAUAUAUGAUGACAACAA
Non-coding RNA from Cherax quadricarinatus, 2907 nucleotides. Lineage: Eukaryota; Metazoa; Arthropoda; Malacostraca; Decapoda; Parastacidae. The record is from RefSeq and is a predicted model, not a curated record.